UGUAGAAGGAGGAAAGCAAAGGCCAGGCAAUGGGUGGGUGUGGGAAAGUGCCAUGCGUGAUCUCUUGGGAAAAUGAAAGGAGACAAGGGUAGGCCUCCUUGAGAAGGUGACUUUAGAGCAAAGACUUGAAGAUGAGGGAGCAACCCUGUGUACACCUUGAGGAAGAGGCUUCCAGACAGCAGGAGCGCUCUUUGCAAAGGCCCUGAGGCAGGAGCAUGCUUGGCAUAUUUGAGGAACAGUGAGGAGAUGAUUCACUGUGGGAAAGUUAGCUGCCACAUGGCAAGAAACCAAGGCCUCCUGCAGAUAGACAUGUGCGUGAGCCAUCCAGCAGGGGUCCUCCAGCCCCAGUCAGGCCUUCAGAAACCAAACUAGCUUGGACUCGUCUUCCAAGUCCUGGCUGCUGGAGUCACCGAGAGAUUUCAGGGAGAAGCAGUCUUGGCCGAGGGUUAGAGCCAGAGGCCGGCUGGAGAAGGGAACACUGUCUGGAUGUUGAGAGCAGCUGGAGCUUCGGAGGGAGAAAAAGCAGCUUGGCGAAUGAGGAAAGAAUGUGCUUGUCACUUCAAGAGGCAAGAAACUUCGAUUUCCCUCCUGCCUCUGCCAACAAGUGUUUAUUGGAAAGGACAGAGUGGUGGUGAUGGCAGGUGACUUUGGUUUGGAUUUUAUGGAAUUUUUCGUGUUUAUUUUACCUUCUCAAAGAAAAGAUAAAUGUACAAAUCCCACAGUUAACUAUUCUGAAUUCUGCUUGUGUUUUUAUUGGAGAAGUGAGUGUUGUUCCUCAGAGUUAUUUUUAAGAAUGCCACCCCUGGCCCAUUUUGAAACUCUGCUUGCUUUCCUUGCAUGUAAGCUAAUAUAUGUGAUAGGGAUUUUGGAGAAAAGUAGCAGAGUGUAUUUAAAUGGAAAGUGAAGGCCCAAGGGAGAAAAGAUCCUGUUCUGAGAACAUGAGAGAAUUUACAGUUGGAGGAAUCAGAUGGGCCCAUUUAGACAAAAUAGGAAAGUUUUAGCUGAAACCAAAGGUGAGCUUAUGAAAAGUUUGACAUAGUUGGGGGGGAAAGUUUUUAAGAUGUCAUACUCUUUGGUCAUGUUUUGAUUUCUCUCUGAUUUUCUUGGAUUCUUAUGGAAAUGGAUAGAACAACAGAGACUGUUUUCCCAUUCUGAAUUCCAUUCGUUAGACUUGGAAAGUGUGACCUGAUUUUAAGUAUCCCUUUUAAAAUGAACAGAAAGACAAUCCAAUAUUAAUAUUUGAAAAAUAAUGUUACCAUUUUAAAAUCGCUUUCCUCCCUUUCUGAACUCUCAACAUUUUUGCCUACUUUCAGAAUUCUCCCUUUAAUUGUACUUAACUGCUAUUUUUUAAAUUUGGCAGUGGGAAUGUUAGUUGGAUCUUGGAACAUAAAUACAUCUAAAAGUUAAAAUGGGGAAUAAGUGGGAGUAUUGGGAAGGGAAAAAAUAUUUCUUGAGUUCUACCUGUGUGACAGACCCCUUUACUAGGUCCUUUCCUUGUUAGAAUCUGUGAAGUAAGAAUUAUUAUGACCAUUUUAAAGAAGGGAGACUGAGGCUCAGUGAGGGUCUUUAUAACUUGUCUAAUAUUACCUGAUAUUCUAUUAAUGGUAAAGUCAAGUUAUCUGGAUUUAAACUUCGUUUUGAUUCCAAAGUCCAUAUUCUUUCCACUGCCCCGAUAUUGUCCACAUAAUAAUAUCUGGGUUGAUUAUGUUUAAAUUGAUUAAUCAUUAAAAAUUUAUUGAUCAGAAGUAACCUGUAUAUAUUAUUUAGGACUCCUCUUUUGCUAGUGUGUUGUGAUUCUAGGUAAUGAGACUUUAUUACAAGGAUUCAAGGGACUACAGAGUCUUCAACUAUAUAGUUACUUUGCAUCUCCAAAUUUCCAAGACUGGAAUUAGUACUGUCAAGAAAAAAAUAAUCUGAUGUGGUCUCUUGUCAUUACCCACGAUGAAGUUCCUGGCCUGGCAAGGUUCACCAAACCACUUCAGACGUGGUGGCUUCCUCCACAUCCAAACUGUGCGAUAACUUACCUUUAACUUGGGCACUCUUUCCUGAGGCCAGAGUAGAAGUUUCACAAGGCAUAUCUGGUGUAAAUCAUUGCAAAUUUUUUGUAGGAAGUGUCUCUUAGGGCUGCUGUUCUUAGAAGGAGAUUGUAAGCAAAGCAGGAACUUGGAAUUUUGUACUCUUUCCCAGCACGUGAAGAAACAAACUGGAUGUAAAGAAGUCAAUGAAAAGAAGCCAGUGAGGGCUCCCCUGGUGGCGCAGUGGUUGAGAAUCUGCCUGCCAGUGCAGAAGACACGGGUUCAAGCUCUGGUCCGGGAAGAUCCCACAUGCCGCAGAGCAACUAAGCCCGUGCGCCCCAACU
Long non-coding RNA from Balaenoptera musculus (blue whale), 2359 nucleotides. RefSeq lists it as uncharacterized. The transcript has 4 exons. NCBI's taxonomy places the organism in Eukaryota, Metazoa, Chordata, Mammalia, Artiodactyla, Balaenopteridae. The record is from RefSeq and is a predicted model, not a curated record.